Molecule: long non-coding RNA, 599 nt
Filed under: Anneissia japonica
Lineage: Eukaryota; Metazoa; Echinodermata; Crinoidea; Comatulida; Comatulidae
Description: uncharacterized LOC117123206
Source: RNAcentral
GUGAUCUUCAAGCCAUGAGUACACCACCACUAUGCACCUUGCAGCAGGAAACACAGGCACAUGUUUAUUGUGGAUUUUCGAAGACAAGCAUUCAGUAAGAGUUUGUUAUUGUAUGAAGCAGAUAAACAAUUGGAUGUCCAGUCAGAUUUGUUGGAAGCUUGGAUAACUGAAGCUGUAAAGAUGGUUGAGUAAAGAAAUGCAUUGUGGGAAAUCAGGACUGAUUAGUUUGAACCCUGGUAACUGAAUCUUAGCAACAUCAGACUGUGAGAUAAAGCGUGGAAGUCAAAUUUUAACAUAAAGAAAUGAAGCAAUGAACUUUGAGAAACAGACUACAAUAAUUUGUUUGAAUUAUGUAGUGUACAGUAUACUGGUACUUGAAGCUUAGUGAACUCUGAUGUAUGGACAUGAAGCAGAUAAAUUGUGGAAAUUCUAAACCACAACAGACAUUUGUUGUGCAUUCAUAAAAUGAAUGAUUAUGAAUUGAAGUACUGUUUGCCAAGUGAAGUUUGUGAUUUAGUAAGUAAAAUAAGUGUUGACCUUUAAAAAUGCUGAAAUUUUUGACUGAUUCUGGACCUAGUUAAAAAUAGAAUGUUGGCCCG